AGAGUUUGAUCCUGGCUCAGAACGAACGCUGGCGGCGUGGAUAAGACAUGCAAGUCGAACGGGAUAUCAUCUGUAGCAAUACAAGUGAUGUCCAGUGGCGCAAGGGUGCGUAACACGUGGGGAGUCUGCCGAGAAGUGGGGGAUAGCUCGUCGAAAGGCGAAUUAAUACCGCAUGUGGUUAGUGAAGACAUCUUCGCGAUACCAAAGCCGGGGCAACCUGGCGCUUCUUGAUGACCCCGCGGCCUAUCAGCUAGUUGGUGAGGUAACGGCUCACCAAGGCUAUGACGGGUAGCUGGUCUGAGAGGACGACCAGCCACACUGGAACUGAGACACGGUCCAGACACCUACGGGUGGCAGCAGUCGAGAAUUUUUCUCAAUGGGGGAAACCCUGAAGGAGCGACGCCGCGUGGAGGAUGAAGGUCUUCGGAUUGUAAACUCCUGUCAUUUGGGAACAAUUGUCACCGGUUAACUGCCGGGGGCUUGAUAGUACCAGAAGAGGAAGAGACGGCUAACUCUGUGCCAGCAGCCGCGGUAAUACAGAGGUCUCAAGCGUUGUUCGGAUUCAUUGGGCGUAAAGGGUGCGUAGGUGGCGGGGUAAGUCAGGUGUGAAAUCUCGGGGCUCAACCCCGAAACUGCACUUGAUACUGCCUUGCUCGAGUGCUGGAGAGGAGAUUGGAAUUUACGGUGUAGCAGUGAAAUGCGUAGAUAUCGUAAGGAAGACCAGUGGCGAAGGCGAAUCUCUGGACAGUUACUGACACUGAGGCACGAAGGCCAGGGGAGCAAACGGGAUUAGAUACCCUGGUAGUC
RNAcentral lists this ribosomal RNA (807 nucleotides) under uncultured bacterium. Its description in RNAcentral is "bacterial SSU rRNA". It matches the Rfam family "Bacterial small subunit ribosomal RNA", at positions 8 to 795 of the family's 1533-position model. The record is from RNAcentral.